AGGGUUUGAUUAUGGCUCAGAUUGAACGCUGGCGGCAGGCCUAACACAUGCAAGUCGAGCGCGAAAACACUUCGGUGUGAGUAGAGCGGCGGACGGGUGAGUAAUGCUUGGGAAUCUGCCCAGUAGUGGGGGAUAACGUGUGGAAACGCACGCUAAUACCGCAUACGUCCUACGGGAGAAAGCAGGGGAUCUUCGGACCUUGCGCUAUUGGAUGAGCCCAAGUCAGAUUAGCUAGUUGGUGAGGUAAUGGCUCACCAAGGCGACGAUCUGUAGCUGGUCUGAGAGGAUGAUCAGCCACACUGGGACUGAGACACGGCCCAGACUCCUACGGGAGGCAGCAGUGGGGAAUAUUGCACAAUGGGCGAAAGCCUGAUGCAGCCAUGCCGCGUGUGUGAAGAAGGCUCUAGGGUUGUAAAGCACUUUCAGUGGGGAGGUAAGGUUUAAGUUUAAUACUCUUGAACCUUGACGUUACCUGCAGAAGUAGCACCGGCAAACUCCGUGCCAGCC
This 507-nucleotide ribosomal RNA is filed under the name uncultured Alteromonadales bacterium. RNAcentral's name for it is "bacterial SSU rRNA". It matches the Rfam family "Bacterial small subunit ribosomal RNA", at positions 8 to 513 of the family's 1533-position model. Lineage: Bacteria; Pseudomonadati; Pseudomonadota; Gammaproteobacteria; Alteromonadales. The record is from RNAcentral.